AGUGUCGUAAGGGUGCGUAACACGUAUGCAAUCUGCCCUGUACAGGAGGAUAGCUCGGGGAAACCCGGAUUAACCCUCCAUAAGAUCACACGAGGGCAUCUGAGAGUGAUUAAAACUGAGGUGGUACAGGAUGAGCAUGCGUCUGAUUAGCUAGUUGGUAGGGUAACGGCCUACCAAGGCAAUGAUCAGUAGGGGAACUGAGAGGUUAAUCCCCCACACUGGCACUGAGAUACGGGCCAGACUCCUACGGGAGGCAGCAGUAGGGAAUAUUGGUCAAUGGGUGAGAGCCUGAACCAGCCAUGCCGCGUGCAGGAAGAAGGCCUUCUGGGUUGUAAACUGCUUUUGCCAGGGGCUAAAAAGCUCAUGCGUGAGAAAUUGAAAGUACCUGGUGAAUAAGCCACGGCUAACUACGUGCCAGCAGCCGCGGUAAUACGUAGGUGGCAAGCGUUGUCCGGAUUUAUUGGGUUUAAAGGGUGCGUAGGCGGUCCAUUAAGUCAGUUGUGAAAUACGGCAGCUUAACUGUCGAGGUGCAAUUGAUACUGGAGGACUUGAGUACAGACGAGGUAGGCGGAAUUGACGGUGUAGCGGUGAAAUGCUUAGAUAUCGUCAAGAACACCGAUAGCGAAGGCAGCUUACUAGAGUGUAACUGACGCUGAGGCACGAAAGUGUGGGGAUCAAACAGGAUUAGAUACCCUGAUAGUCCACACUGU
RNAcentral lists this ribosomal RNA (710 nucleotides) under uncultured Chryseolinea sp. Its description in RNAcentral is "bacterial SSU rRNA". It matches the Rfam family "Bacterial small subunit ribosomal RNA", at positions 94 to 803 of the family's 1533-position model. The record is from RNAcentral. Lineage: Bacteria; Pseudomonadati; Bacteroidota; Cytophagia; Cytophagales; Fulvivirgaceae.